GUGGGGAAUCUUGCGCAAUGGGCGAAAGCCUGACGCAGCCAUGCCGCGUGAAUGAUGAAGGUCUUAGGAUUGUAAAAUUCUUUCACCGGGGACGAUAAUGACGGUACCCGGAGAAGAAGCCCCGGCUAACUUCGUGCCAGCAGCCGCGGUAAUACGAAGGGGGCUAGCGUUGCUCGGAAUUACUGGGCGUAAAGGGCGCGUAGGCGGAUCGUUAAGUCAGGGGUUAAAUCCCAGAGCUCAACUCUGGAACUGCCCUUGAUACUGGCGAUCUUGAGUGUGAGGGAGGUAUGUGGAACUCCGAGUGUAGAGGUGAAAUUCGUAGAUAUUCGGAAGAACACCAGUGGCGGAGGCGACAUACUGGCUCAUUACUGACGCUGAGGCGCGAAAGCGUGGGGAGCAAACAGGAUUAGAUACCCGUGUAGUCC
This 425-nucleotide ribosomal RNA is filed under the name uncultured bacterium. RNAcentral's name for it is "partial 16S ribosomal RNA". It matches the Rfam family "Bacterial small subunit ribosomal RNA", at positions 354 to 796 of the family's 1533-position model. The record is from RNAcentral.